CGGACGGGUGAGUAACGCGUGGGGAACCUGCCCUGUACAGGGGGAUAACACUUAGAAAUAGGUGCUAAUACCGCAUAAGCGCACAGUGUCGCAUGAUACAGUGUGAAAAACUCCGGUGGUACAGGAUGGACCCGCGUCUGAUUAGCUGGUUGGCGGGGUAACGGCCCACCAAGGCGACGAUCAGUAGCCGGCCUGAGAGGGUGAACGGCCACAUUGGGACUGAGACACGGCCCAGACUCCUACGGGAGGCAGCAG
RNAcentral lists this ribosomal RNA (255 nucleotides) under uncultured bacterium. Its description in RNAcentral is "partial 16S ribosomal RNA". It matches the Rfam family "Bacterial small subunit ribosomal RNA", at positions 99 to 354 of the family's 1533-position model. The record is from RNAcentral.